RNAcentral lists this ribosomal RNA (429 nucleotides) under Bacillota bacterium. RNAcentral's name for it is "Firmicutes bacterium partial 16S ribosomal RNA". It matches the Rfam family "Bacterial small subunit ribosomal RNA", at positions 355 to 776 of the family's 1533-position model. Lineage: Bacteria; Bacillati; Bacillota. The record is from RNAcentral.
UAGGGAAUCUUCGGCAAUGGACGGAAGUCUGACCGAGCAACGCCGCGUGAGUGAAGAAGGUUUUCGGAUCGUAAAGCUCUGUUGUUAGAGAAGAACGUUGGUAGGAGUGGAAAAUCUACCAAGUGACGGUAACUAACCAGAAAGGGACGGCUAACUACGUGCCAGCAGCCGCGGUAAUACGUAGGUCCCGAGCGUUGUCCGGAUUUAUUGGGCGUAAAGCGAGCGCAGGCGGUUCUUUAAGUCUGAAGUUAAAGGCAGUGGCUUAACCAUUGCACGCUUUGGAAACUGGAGGACUUGAGUGCAGAAGGGGAGAGUGGAAUUCCAUGUGUAGCGGUGAAAUGCGUAGAUAUAUGGAGGAACACCGGUGGCGAAAGCGGCUCUCUGGUCUGUAACUGACGCUGAGGCUCGAAAGCGUGGGGAGCAAACAGG